This 74-nucleotide transfer RNA is filed under the name Hahella sp. CCB-MM4. RNAcentral's name for it is "tRNA-His". It matches the Rfam family "tRNA". Rfam says of the family: Transfer RNA (tRNA) molecules are approximately 80 nucleotides in length. Their secondary structure includes four short double-helical elements and three loops (D, anti-codon, and T loops). Further hydrogen bonds mediate the characteristic L-shaped molecular structure. tRNAs have two regions of fundamental functional importance: the anti-codon, which is responsible for specific mRNA codon recognition, and the 3' end, to which the tRNAs corresponding amino acid is attached (by aminoacyl-tRNA synthetases). tRNAs cope with the degeneracy of the genetic code in two manners: having more than one tRNA (with a specific anti-codon) for a particular amino acid; and 'wobble' base-pairing, i.e. permitting non-standard base-pairing at the 3rd anti-codon position. Lineage: Bacteria; Pseudomonadati; Pseudomonadota; Gammaproteobacteria; Oceanospirillales; Hahellaceae. The record is from RNAcentral.
GUGAUCGUAGCUCAAUGGCAGAGCGCCUGGUUGUGGCCCAGGUGAUACGAGUUCGAUUCUCGUCGAUCACCCCA